UUUUCCAUUUUUUUCACUAAAAUGAAUGUUUUGUCUUUUCCUUGAUGAAAUUUAGCAGAAUGACAUGGAUGAAAAAGGAGGAAGUUUUAGACAGAAUAGAUUUUUCUAAAUUUAGGAACUUUUAAUACAAAUCCUUCAGUAUGAUUCUAAAUAAAGCAAGCUUGAAAAAUCUUCAGUACAAUGCCUCUUACAAUCAGAUGAAACUGUUCAGCUCUUUUGUCUGGCUACUGAAUUUCUCUCAGCGCACCUCCCAGUUACACACUGGCAACACUUCAGUGGGAAAAGACCCACUGAAAUAUUGACAAACCCAUGCAGGCUUUAGUGAUUGCUGAUGUGCAAAGAGACCUGCUCAAUACAGAUGUUUCAGCUUUUGAGACUGUGAGGAGCCUCAUCCCUGGCACUGGGCCACGGGGCCAAAAUCUCGUGGAGCUGUGGCAGUGUCUGAGGCAGGGCUGUGCUGCAGGGGUGCCCUGCACUGCCUGGGUUUGUCACCUGCACAGGGCAGGGCCAGGGGCUGUCACUCCUCCUGGGAGCUUUGCACAGAAUGGAGGAUGGACCCAAAAGAAGCUUCAUAAUUCAGCAACGAAAACCCCAGGAAACUUUAAAUUCUAACCUAUUUCUACUCUGAGCUGAGGGUUGGGCUAGAGGCCACGGGAGGUCUCUCCCAGCAAAAAUAUUGUUCUAUUGUUUUGUUAGAGAAAUUUCAACUAGUUUUACCUUUGCUUUAAUUUAUAAACCUUAUCUAUGAGUUACUAAGUCCUAAGAAGUUUUGCUUUUUUUUUUUUUUACCCUCAAUAUUAACAGAAAUAUAAAACAUGAAUUAUUUUCUAUUUAUUUCUAUUUUUAUUUUUAUUUAUUUUUAUUUCUAUUUAUUUUCUUUGCCUCUUCCUAAGCUUUCUCUUUCCCUUUUCUGCACAGGAUAUAAAUGUGAAUAUCUGAGUGAAAUUGAAGAUUUUUGUGUCAUUUUGCCCCCUCAUCCCCUGAUUAGUCACCUUCUCUCUAGGAAACCUUCCAAAUAGCAGAAGUGAAGAGGAAAUCUUGGCCCUUAGGUCUUUAUUGGUACAGUAAUGAUACUGUAAUAUUUGCAAAGCAUUUAUUUCUGCAAGAAAGGUAAAAGGAACAACAUGGUCAUUCAUUUUUGCUGCUUACAGAGGUGAAAAAAAAAGGAAAGAUAUAAACAACACUAUAUAUGUUAAAAUACUUUAAAAACAAUAGAGAGUUCCUGUAUUUUCAAUCCUUUCAAACAUUUUUUCCUCAAGUAUUGGUAUAAGCAACAAUACUUUUCCCUUUUUGUGAGAUUCUUCGUCCUACUAUGACCCAGGUGAGCUGUUCUGGCUUCAGUACAAUCACUGUCCUUUGUUCUGUAGCUGCAGCUUAUGCUGAUUCAAUGGGAUGAGACAUUUUGUGAGAAAAGAUCAUUAAGCACCAGGGGGGAUGCACUGGCUGAGUAUUGGUGCAGGUAAGACCCACAAGUUUGCCAGCACUUCAGCUGAAACUUGUCUGUGUUAGCAGGAAACCUGUGCCAGUUCCUGACAGUAGAAGUGUGGCUGAUCUGCCGUGUUCAGAUUAAGAACUGGUCAUUCCAAAAGUCUGACACUUGAUAUAUAUAUUUGGCUGACCAGUGGAAAAAAAAAAAAAGCAACAUCCAGUGCAAAGCUAUAAAAGCCCAAACCCUUCAGUGUCUCUUGAACCAACACCCUUAUUCCAGUCUGUGCUUACAGGAUGCCUGGGAUGUGCUUGAGCCACACUGAGCGUGGCAAUUUCACCUGGCUUCUCACAUAAGAACAGCAAAUAUUUCAGGCUCUGACCUUUCUACAAAGAUUAAACAAUCAUCUCUCUGCUAUGGGGGAGAAAAAGAAAAAAAAGGAAAAGAGAGUCUUAAUGGAAAACUGGAUGAUGCCUGCUAUCUCUGAUGAAGGGAUUAAGUUUCUAGUACAAGGUGAACAGUCAAAAGGUAUGCUGAAAAAAAAAGAGCUUAAAACAAUGGGGAAGUAUUUUGUCAACAUCCCACUCUGAACAAUUCCAAUUCCCAGUAGAGCCAUACAUUGAUUCAUCAAGUCCCAUUGUUCCUUGAUAGCCAGAAAUUAAUGAAGAGUAAAAGCAAACACAAUUCUGAUUUGACUUGUAGAACCCUUUAAAUAACAAAUAUUUUAAUCUUUGCUUUUAGUGUCAUUCAUGUAACACAAAUUAUGGGAAAAAUGAAGACAUUUUUUCCCAGAAGAUUAGCAUUCCUUCUCUUUUAUUUGGCAGACUUUUUCCAGCUAAGAAAAUUUGUGACUGUGUUCCUCUCAUCAGAAAGCAUGCAGUUCUGUGUGGUGCCUGGAUAAAAUCUGAUUUCUGAAUGCUGACAAGGAUGUGUGAGUCACACGUUCUGGAGCUGACAUGGCACUUCUGUUCAGAUGGCUGCAGCAUCCUGCUUCUUUUACAGCACCAUCCAUCCUGAUCCAUGUAUGUGGAAGGCAAUUCCUGUGUGACUCAGGAACACAAAACCUAUUCAGCAAAGUGGUCCUUCAGUGUUCUGUGGGCAUGUGGCAGCUCCCUUCCACUCCUGCUGAAACCCUAAGUGCUAUCAAGCAAAAAGCAGAGCAGCCUGUUUCCCUGUUUUUACCACCAGUUUAUUAUUCUUCUCUGGAUUGUGGAGAAUCCUCAGGGUUAACACCUGGAAGGUUCUGUGUUCAGAAGAGAACAGACAAUGAUGUGCCCCCUGGUAAUCUGUGGAAAUUAUUGGCCUGUCUGUAGCUGUAUCCAGAACCAGCAGUUUUUGCUCAAGUCUCCAGUAACCUGCUCAGCAUCCUCCCUGUAUCACCAUCUUGGGAAAUGUGCUCCUACACAGUAAAGGUAAAUCAUAAAAUUGUCUUUCCAAAGAAGGGCAACAGGGCUGGGGAAGGGUCUGGAGCACAAGUCUGCUGAGGAGCAGCUGAUGGAGCUGGGGGUGAUUAUGCUGGAGAAAAGGAGGCUCAGGGGGGACAUUACCACUCUGUACAGCUGCCUGAAAGGAAGCUGCAAACAGGUGGAAGUGGGUCCCUGCUCCCAGGUGAAAAGUGUCAGAACAAGAGAAAAUGGCCUCAAGCUGCACUGUGGGAGGUUUAUAUGUGUGUGUCAUGCAAACUGUAAAUCACUUCAACUAAGAAAAAGUUGAAUAAAUUUGAAUUCUAUAUAUAUUUAUUCAUUCACUUCAAUAAUGAAAAAUGUGCUAUAAUUAUCUCUAAAUACAUUAUUUCGUUCAACAAUAUUGCACACUCAAUAUCCUCUCAAGUCUCAGAAUUCUCUACCACAUGUGUACUGACAGACAAACACUAAUAAAUCAAUUAUAUUUUUGGUUCUUAAUGAACAUUAAAUAGAAUUCACACCCCUUACAUGGCAAAUUUUUUCUCUCUCCCCCUUUCUCUCUUUCUUUAAUUCAUCCUUGCUUUCUGUCUUCCCUUUCACCCUACCCCUUUAUCCAAAACAUAUUGUUUUGUUUUU
Long non-coding RNA from Prinia subflava (tawny-flanked prinia), 3465 nucleotides. RefSeq lists it as uncharacterized. The transcript has 3 exons. The record is from RefSeq and is a predicted model, not a curated record. Lineage: Eukaryota; Metazoa; Chordata; Aves; Passeriformes; Cisticolidae.